Molecule: ribosomal RNA, 115 nt
Filed under: uncultured bacterium
Lineage: Bacteria
Description: partial 16S ribosomal RNA
Rfam family: Bacterial small subunit ribosomal RNA
Source: RNAcentral
CGGUGAAUACGUUCCCGGGCCUUGUACACACCGCCCGUCAAGCCAUGGGAGUUGGGGGUACCUAAAGUCCAUCGACCGUAAGGAGUGGCCUAGGGUAAAACCGAUGACUGGGGCU